UUGUUUGAGUCAAAUUAAGAAUACAUUCUUUACACCCCUUUGCAAAAAUGCAAAAUGCUCUAUUCCUUUAUGACACAGACGUCAUAACGUCAUCAAAGCUAACCUUUAUGCAUUCACACGCAGCGCCAACAUAUGGGAACCAGGAUGAGAUCGGGAAAGAAAGCAUUCCUCCGUUCCCUGAUUACGAGCUGUGUGUCUCGUCUCCCCAUAUCCCCUCUGGUUCCCUGGCUGCCCCUUUUGGAUCUCGACCUCCCGCCUGGACACUGACCUUUGACGCCUCGCUCUUGCCCCUGACCUCCUGCCUGUCCCUGGAUCUCCGAGUUUGCCUUGCCCUCUUGGACUUCCGCACCUGGCUCAACACUUCCGCUUGAUUGGGCGUUAGCAUGUUGGCCGCACAUCAGAAGAUGGAGGGGUCAAACAUCUGUAGGGACGUGGAGAUUGCCUGUUCACCCUGUG
Molecule: long non-coding RNA, 456 nt
Organism: Entelurus aequoreus (snake pipefish)
Lineage: Eukaryota; Metazoa; Chordata; Actinopteri; Syngnathiformes; Syngnathidae
Exons: 3
Source: RefSeq, a predicted model, not a curated record